RNAcentral lists this ribosomal RNA (468 nucleotides) under uncultured bacterium. RNAcentral describes it as "partial 16S ribosomal RNA". It matches the Rfam family "Bacterial small subunit ribosomal RNA", at positions 28 to 507 of the family's 1533-position model. The record is from RNAcentral.
GACGAACGCUGGCGGCGUGCUUAACACAUGCAAGUCGAACGGAAAGGCCCUGCUUUUGUGGGGUGCUCGAGUGCCGAACGGGUGAGUAACACGUGAGUAACCUGCCCUUGACUUUGGGAUAACUUCAGGAAACUGGGGCUAAUACCGGAUAGGAGCUCCUGCUGCAUGGUGGGGGGUGGAAAGUUUCGGCGGUUGGGGAUGGACUCGCGGCUUAUCAGCUUGUUGGUGGGGUAGUGGCUUACCAAGUCUUUGACGGGUAGCCGGCCUGAGAGGGUGACCGGCCACAUUGGGACUGCGAUACGGCCCAGACUCGUACGGGAGGCAGCAGUGGGGAAUAUUGCACAAUGGGCGGAAGCCUGAUGCAGCAGCGCCGCGUGCGGGAUGACGGCCUUCGGGUUGUGAACCGCUUUCGCCUGUGACGAAGCGUGAGUGACGGUAAUGGGUAAAGAAGCACCGGCUAACUACGUG